UACAGAGGGUGCGAGCGUUAAUCGGAAUUACUGGGCGUAAAGCGCGCGUAGACGGUUAUUUAAGUCGGAUGUGAAAGCCCCGGGCUCAACCUGGGAAUUGCAUUCGAGACUGAAUAGCUAGGGUGCGGUAGAGGGAAGCGGAAUUUCCGGUGUAGCGGUGAAAUGCGUAGAGAUCGGGAGGAAUACCGGUGGCGAAAGCGACUCUCUGGACGGCAACUGACGCUGAGGCACGAAAGCGUGGGGAGCAAACAGG
RNAcentral lists this ribosomal RNA (253 nucleotides) under uncultured bacterium. RNAcentral describes it as "partial 16S ribosomal RNA". It matches the Rfam family "Bacterial small subunit ribosomal RNA", at positions 524 to 776 of the family's 1533-position model. The record is from RNAcentral.